Aethalodelphis obliquidens (Pacific white-sided dolphin) is the source of this 2381-nucleotide long non-coding RNA. RefSeq lists it as uncharacterized. The record is from RefSeq and is a predicted model, not a curated record. The transcript has 2 exons. Lineage: Eukaryota; Metazoa; Chordata; Mammalia; Artiodactyla; Delphinidae.
AGGACCUCCACAACGCCGAGGUCUCCUUAAGCCAGGAGAGAGGACAUGAAGAAGAAGGCGGCACCUAAGGCACGGGUGGUACAGAGACAGAAGAGUACGUGGGCUUAAGAGGAGAUCACCCUCUAAGAAUCGCGGGACACCGGCGCAUGUGUGCCCCGGGUGCGAGGCGCCAGGACACGGCGCCGCUAUGGGACGGGCGGAAGGAUCUCAGAACGAGGGUAGCGGCGUCGGCGGCGCGCGCUCUGUGAUUGCACCGCGUGCUGCUGAGGUGAUCUCGGCUUAUUCCGCGUCAGCGGGGCGGGUGGAUGGGGCGCCGCCCCCUGCCUAGGCGAGCGAAGGCACCGCGUCUGAACCUGUUCGAGGUCCGCGUCGUGGCCAUUCGGAGAGACAGUUUCAAAUAUUCGCGAAAAGGGAGAUUGCGAAAGACGCCGUCUACCCACAGAAGGUUGGGACGCCGAGGUCAGUCCCAUCUCACCCCAAGUAAAACCAGUCUGACAGGCCGUCGUGACCUACUGGAGGCAACAUUUCCCAAGAACGCCCCUUAUUCUGACCGUUUAGGACCAGAAAGAUUUUGAAGCGGGAGUUCAGUCCUCCUGCUACAGUCAACCUGAUCUCAUCCACUCCCGUGGUUUCAAAGAAGCGUGUAUAUAAAAUGACUGCCAAAUUGAACCCUCCUGUUAGCUGACUGUCACGAGCCCCUGACCAGAUUCAUUUCUUUAUUCAGUCGACCUUAAGAGCUGGGUACUGUGCUAGGCAUUGAGGGUACAGAAGGGAAUGAGAACUGUGAGGCCCUCGGGGAAGGAGCAGUUAAUAGCCAAUUGCCUGUUCUGACACCUCUGCCUAGAGAGCUGAUGCUCAUGUCAUAGUUAAUGCAAAACUAAACUCAUAAAUCUCCGCCCACCUCGCUGCCAACCUUCUCCUCCUGUAAUGCCUCUGUAGGAAGGGCACCACUGUCCACCAAACUGCCCUUCUCCGCUGUGCCUCACAUGGAAUCAGUCACCGAGUCCUGUAAUUCCACCACCUUAAAUUUCUCCAUUCUUGCCACUGCCCUAGGUCAGGCCCUCAUCAUUGCUUGUCUGCAUUACUGCAGUAGUAUGCUACCUGGUCUCUGCUUCCGUGCUUGCCUUUGAUCUAUCCUCCACACGGCUGCCAUUUCUUCCAUCACUAAAACUGUGUUGCAGUCGUCUCCAGUCGGUUUCCUCUGCUACAAGAUGAACUUGAGAAUAGGGAUUGUGUCUUUUAAUCGUUUUUAUAUUCUGCAUUUAUUCUAAUACAUAGCAGUUCACAAAGUGUGGUUCAUGGCCUUCUGGGGAUCCCCAGAACUCCAGGGGGUGUAUGCAAAAUCAAAGCCCUUUAUAAUAAUACCAUUAUUUGCUUUUUUACUGCUGGAAUUUGCAGUGAUGGUGUCAAAUCAAUAGUAAAUAAAACUUCUGGGACCUUAGCACAAAUCAAUGGCAAGUGGCACCAAACUCUAGUAGUCAUUAUUCUUCACUGCCAUGCACUUGCAGUAGAAAAAAAUUGCCUGCUUCGCUUAAGAAGGUCCUUGAUGAAAUUGUAAGCAUUAAUUUUUUUAAAGGUCAGCCAUUGAGUACAUGUAUUUUAACUUGCUGCUUUUUUCACAGAAUGGCAUUUUUGCUUGAAAGAACAAGUGACAAACUUUGAUCCUUCAGAUUUGGAUAUUUGACAGAUGUUUUCUUUGAAAAUGAAGUCAGCCUCUCCUUUAAAAGAAAACCACUGGCAGUACUUGUUGUCAAUGAUAAAAUUAAAGCUUUCAAAUAAAAAUUAAGAAUUUUAGAAAACAUAUCUACCACUAUGAACUUGACAACUUACCAAUUCUUGAGACUUUUCUACAGAGAAAAUUUAGUAACAAGUGGAGUUUGUGUAAUAAAAUGUGUCAGCAUAUUGAAUCUUUGCAUAAUUAAGAGCCAGUAUAUUCAGAGGUACAAUGCGUGAUGUUACAAGAUCAUGAGUGAGUGAAACAUCCAUUCAAAGUACAACUUAGACCAAUAGAUUUUCAUAUAACAGAAUACAAAAAGUUCAUUGAUACAGUUUCAGACUCUACAUGCAACUAACUUUUAAGAUACUACCACUUGUGAAGAAUAUCUAUAAUUAUCUGAAAAAGUUACUAAAAUAUUCCUCCCUUUUCCAGCUCUACAGCUGUGUGAAGCCAGGUUAUUUUAAUGUACUUCAAUCAAAACAAUAUAGUUAGCACAGUAGAUUGAGAGCACAUGAGAAUUCAGCUGUCUUACAUUAAGCCAGGCAUUAAACAGAUUUGCAGAAAUCUAAAACAAUGCCACCUCUCUUUUGUUUUUGAAAAUAUAACUGUGUUCAUAAAAUGCAUUAACAUGGGAUUGUUAUUUUUAAUAAAUUAAUAAACAUUU